RNAcentral lists this ribosomal RNA (208 nucleotides) under uncultured Succinivibrionaceae bacterium. Its description in RNAcentral is "partial 16S ribosomal RNA". It matches the Rfam family "Bacterial small subunit ribosomal RNA", at positions 568 to 775 of the family's 1533-position model. The record is from RNAcentral. Lineage: Bacteria; Pseudomonadati; Pseudomonadota; Gammaproteobacteria; Aeromonadales; Succinivibrionaceae.
CAUGCAGGCGGUUAUACAAGUAGGAUGUGAAAGCCUGGGGCUCAACCUCAGAACUGCAUUCUAAACUGUGUGACUAGAGUAUUGCAGGGGGAGACGGAAUUUCAGGUGUAGCGGUGGAAUGCGUAGAUAUCUGAAAGAACACCGAAGGCGAAGGCAGUCUCCUGGGCAAAUACUGACGCUCAUAUGCGAAAGCGUGGGUAGCAAACAG